GAGGUGGUGCCCAUGCAGGACUUUUCUCAGGAUCCUUGUGGGAGCCCCUUCUGAACUCCUCAGCAGGUUCUUUACCCACUUCUAAGGAGAGGUAUCCCCAAGGUUCAUCCCUCAGCUCUCUGUCCUUCUCACUCAACAUGCCUGGCCCUUUCCUGGUCAGUCCCUGAGCCCCAGAUGUGCCUUCUGGUAGCUUCUUCAGUUGGGGGCUGGGUCCUCAGGUCUCUAUUCUCCCACCCUCAGGCCUCACUCCUGAACCCAGACCACUGGAUCCAACUGUCUGUUGAAUAUCUAUCUAGACCUCAAAAUCAACAUGAGUGAAGUCAAGACUCACAGCCCUCCCCAGACCAGCUCCUCCUCCCCAGAUUCCAUCUUCCACAGAUCAGCACCACCAUCUUCCAACUGUCAAGGACAGGAUGAGAAAACACAAGGAAAACAAAGUUGGAGAGUUCGUAUGAAGACAUGGGAAGCAUGUGCAUCCAGUCUGCAGAUGACUCAACGCUGGAGGGGAUGAGAGAAUUAAGGUUCAAGAUGAGCUCGACAGUCGAGAAUGCUGGGUCAAAAGCAACCAGAUGAAAUUUAACAUCAAUAAAUCUAACGUCUUGAAUGCCGUUUCCAAAAAUCAAUUGCACAAGAACAGGAUGAGGGAGACCUGGCCUGACUGCAACUCACAUAAAAAAG
This 678-nucleotide long non-coding RNA is filed under the name Mustela putorius furo (domestic ferret). Its description in RNAcentral is "lncRNA (ENSMPUG00000026846.1)". The record is from RNAcentral. Lineage: Eukaryota; Metazoa; Chordata; Mammalia; Carnivora; Mustelidae.